AUAAAUCACUUUAAAAAAGUCCAUCCAAACUCUCCCUAAGUAGGGUUUCCUAUUUAGCUCUCCGUCUUCGCCUCCGCAUUCCUCUCUACUAUUUCUCUAAGUGCUUCUUUGAACUCCUCUUCCUCUUUUUGUUCUUUUUCCUCUUCUUUCAACUCUUUCUUCCCUUUCAGAGGUAUACUCCAAUGGAUGCAGUGGAUUUCAAGGUGGUUUGGACAAAGAUGUCAAGUCUGUUGACAGAAGUCUAUAAGUGGAGAUUUCAAGAUGCUCCCAGUCUCCUUUCGAAAAGAGUUCUUCUUCAGGCACAAGUCUAAUCUUCCUUAUUUGACUUCAAGGACAUCAAUUUUUACUGGUGGAACUUUUUGUAAGCUGACAUAGACUAGGAUAGAUAGUUUAGUAAUAGUUAUAGCUAUGUAUGCCAUGUAGUGGCAAAAUUUCUUAUGUACAUAUCAGGACCAUUCUUUGUCAUGUUAAUAUUUCUAUUCCUACUCCUUA
This is a long non-coding RNA of Solanum dulcamara, 492 nucleotides long. RefSeq lists it as uncharacterized. Lineage: Eukaryota; Viridiplantae; Streptophyta; Magnoliopsida; Solanales; Solanaceae. The transcript has 2 exons. The record is from RefSeq and is a predicted model, not a curated record.